AACUCUCAUGCUGAUGUUUAGUGUCUAGCUUUUUGUAAUCUCACCAUGUUGGUUAGCCUUGCAAGCUCUGAAGGCUCCUAGUGUCAUGUGGUUUCUUUUCUGAUUCGGUUCUACCAUACCGCUCUCUUGGUCCAGUGUCACCAAAUUGUGUCUGACUUUACUUUCUCAUGGUUGCAUCAACUUCCUGGGUACCUUAUCAGAACAAGUAUGAGGGGUGUCUUUCAUCCACUACCAUCGAUCCCGGAUUCGUCCAACAAUUUCUCAUCACUCUGUACACACAAGUAAACAAUAAAAACAAAAUACUACAACAACAGAAGCAAAAAACGAAAGCAAAAAAAUGAUGAAGGAAAACAUGAACAAAAUGAAAACGAAAUAAAACAUGAAAGGAAAAACUCCCCCACACCUGAACUAAACAUUGACCUUAAUGUUUAAAUCCAGAUACAAAGGGGACUCACAGCGACUACUGUUGUUUUACUGCACUUGUGUGGUUUCCUUCCAUUUUGAGGUGUUUGUGACUUUGC
RNAcentral lists this long non-coding RNA (521 nucleotides) under Lathyrus oleraceus (garden pea). Its description in RNAcentral is "Pisum sativum (pea) long non-coding RNA (PSAT_LNC018645)". The record is from RNAcentral. Lineage: Eukaryota; Viridiplantae; Streptophyta; Magnoliopsida; Fabales; Fabaceae.